AUAAUGCAUUCUGGGUAAAUUUGUUUGAGCGGGAAAAUUUUACAGUAUAUUUUGGUCUUGAUGUAACCUUGCUGUAGCCAUUGCUGUAAUGUGCCAGGUGUACUUGCAAUAAUCAGAGAAAGUGCGCCAGAGUCAAAUCACACAGACAGCACAACUCCUGGCUGCAGCUGAAGGAGGACGAUUGAUUUCUGGCAGUUCGUCUUACCAUUGCUUGUAAGCUGGAUUGGGUAAGAUGGAUCAUCUUUAAAGGCACCAGGAGUUAAGGCAGAUGUGGAGGCACAACGGGUGAUACCAGACACACACCAAGCACAUUAUGUUCGGU
This is a long non-coding RNA of Paramisgurnus dabryanus, 322 nucleotides long. RefSeq lists it as uncharacterized. The record is from RefSeq and is a predicted model, not a curated record. Lineage: Eukaryota; Metazoa; Chordata; Actinopteri; Cypriniformes; Cobitidae.